AUUCUCCAUAAUAUUGUAUCGGGUACAUUUGUAGAACAAUCUGGUCCCGACCUUUUCCAAUUGUCAAUGUGCCUCGGCCCCAAUCGUUCUUAGCUUUGGCUUGAUAAAGCCAAGGUCUGUCCAAUAAAAUGGGAUACGAUAAUGUAGAACUCUGUAAUCGAAAUACAAUAUAAUCGAUUAUGUAUGUCAAUGCUGCGAUU
RNAcentral lists this long non-coding RNA (200 nucleotides) under Physcomitrium patens. RNAcentral's name for it is "long non-coding RNA (PPAT_LNC011574)". The record is from RNAcentral. Lineage: Eukaryota; Viridiplantae; Streptophyta; Bryopsida; Funariales; Funariaceae.